This is a long non-coding RNA of Lontra canadensis (Northern American river otter), 124 nucleotides long. RefSeq lists it as uncharacterized. The record is from RefSeq and is a predicted model, not a curated record. The transcript has 3 exons. NCBI's taxonomy places the organism in Eukaryota, Metazoa, Chordata, Mammalia, Carnivora, Mustelidae.
CACUCACACUGGGUUGAUAUUUGGCUGGAUAUAGAAUUCUAUGUUUGCAGUAACUUUCCCUUAGGAGUUUAAAGGUAAUGCUUCUCUAUCUGCUCGUAUUAUAUUGGGUCUGUCAUCAAAACAG